Molecule: small nucleolar RNA, 138 nt
Organism: Lepisosteus oculatus (spotted gar)
Lineage: Eukaryota; Metazoa; Chordata; Actinopteri; Semionotiformes; Lepisosteidae
Source: Ensembl
UCUCCGGCCCUGAUCGAAGCCGUGUCAGUCUUUCUCCGUAGAUGACGCGGUCAAAAAGGAGCCAAUAGUGAACCUUUUGCCUGACGGUCGCUGCUCAGUUUUUGUAACUGACCAGCAACAUACUGGAAAAGGACACUU